GUUAAUGCUCCGGAGCUCGGCCAACAGGCCCAGCAGCUUCGCAUACAGAAACCUUUGGAGGAAGCGGUGGGGUCACCAGGGAAAGAGGAGGAAAAUAAGGUAGCUGAGAGUCUUUCCCUGACGUCCUGAGCCCCUGAACCGUCCCUCGGCGAAGCUAGGUCUGACCCCUAGAGAAAAUCACGCUCUGGUAGGACAAAUUUAUCCAGAAUUCCAAAAGGUCCCCGAGGGGGUCCUCUGACACUUUCCUCUCUCACCAUGCCGUAUUUCUUGAACCCAGAGGUCUGAGGGCCAAGUGUGAAGAAAGCCCCAGAUGUGGCCAGGACGUCACCUGUGUGGAGUCUGUGGAUCGGGUCUUCUAGAGCAGGUUCUAGAAGGUGGGUGCGUCCUGUGGUGUAAAGCAUCCCUCUCCUGGCCAAACCGGCUCAUUGAGGAACAGCCGAGAACAAGGGGAGUGUCCCUCAGAGCCUGAGUAGAUCACGGACUUUUGGGCCAGGGGACCGGCCUGGGCCAUGAAACUGAACGACCCUGACUUCAAGGGGGAAUGAAUGA
This 549-nucleotide long non-coding RNA is filed under the name Lynx pardinus (Iberian lynx). The record is from RNAcentral. Lineage: Eukaryota; Metazoa; Chordata; Mammalia; Carnivora; Felidae.